Molecule: ribosomal RNA, 643 nt
Filed under: uncultured bacterium
Lineage: Bacteria
Description: bacterial SSU rRNA
Rfam family: Bacterial small subunit ribosomal RNA
Source: RNAcentral
CGCGGCCUAUCAGCUUGUUGGUGAGGUAAUGGCUCACCAAGGCUUCGACGGGUAGCCGGCCUGAGAGGGCGACCGGCCACACUGGGACUGAGAUACGGCCCAGACUCCUACGGGAGGCAGCAAUGGGGAAUAUUGCACAAUGGGCGCAAGCCUGAUGCAGCAACGCCGCGUGCGGGAUGACGGCCUUCGGGUUGUAAACCGCUUUCAGUAGGGACGAAGCUAACGUGACGGUACCUACAGAAGAAGGACCGGCUAACUACGUGCCAGCAGCCGCGGUGAUACGUAGGGUCCGAGCGUUGUCCGGAAUUAUUGGGCGUAAAGGGCUUGUAGGCGGUCCGUCGCGCCAGGAGUGAAAACUCGGGGCUUAACCCCGAGCCUGCUUUUGAUACGGGCGGACUAGAGGGAUGCAGGGGAGAACGGAAUUCCUGGUGGAGCGGUGGAAUGCGCAGAUAUCAGGAGGAACACCGGUGGCGAAGGCGGUUCUCUGGGCAUCACCUGACGCUGAGAAGCGAAAGCGUGGGGAGCAAACAGGCUUAGAUACCCUGGUAGUCCACGCCGUAAACGGUGGGCACUAGGUGUGGGGGACAUUCCGCGUUCUCCGUGCCGAAGCUAACGCAUUAAGUGCCCCGCCUGGGGAGUACGG